GGGUUAUUUACCACUGGGCCACCUGGGAAGCCUUAAUCUACAAGCUGAUAGAGCUAAAGGAUACUAGGAAAAAUUUAUCUGAAACAAUCAACUGUGAACAAUCAACCAGCUAAAUGAACGAAGUUCAAAGAAGAAAUCUUCAGGUCUUUCAGCUUGUCCUUUGAUACGAAACUUGAGAUGGUCUCCUGGCUUCAGAAUGAAGAGACCCACGCCCUUGGUUCUGUCGCCCAGGAAGUAGAUCAGAGGAACGGUGAUAGCAGGAUGCCCCUAAUGUGAAGAGAGAACAGAGGAGGAGCAUUUAUCUACGGUUGGUCCUGGUUUUCGGGAACACAUCAGGGAAGAGGUAGAAUUCCAAAGCAUUUCAAAGGAAGAAUUGGAUGCCUUGAGGUCACCGUGCUCUGAAUUCCCAGCUGUCACCAAGGAAAAGAGACUUCCCCUUUUCUCUCUGUUGGCCUUCCUAUGGAUGUGGACAGAUGACCCAGGCUGGACAGCAAGCAUUCUCCAUCUCCUGAGCAAGAAAGAAAACUGCGGUGCAAUAAACAGAAGACAAUGGACCCAACGACCCGGGCUACCAGACGCCAGCAUAUGACUGUGUUCAAAACAAUGCAAGAGGAAGAAGAAUACAAGAUGCUUACAACUUUGUCCCUUAUCACCCGCCUCUGACUGUGUGCCCUCCUCUAUAAGAUCCUCCAGAUUCCUCAUGGAAGGCGGGGCACAGACCUAGAGGCAUGAACCUACUGUGUCUUUCCUCCACUGGCUGAAGAUUAAAGCCACUUUUCUAUUUCCUCCCAACUCUGUCUCCAUAAUUUUGUUAUUUGACUUCAGUGGGCAGAGAAAGCCAAGAUUUUGGUGAUAACGACUUCACUGGCUGAACGACCACUGGGUUACCUUUCUGGCUGAUGCCCAGCCACCAUGUACCCUGGUAUUUGUGGUCCUGACACCCCUUCUCCAUGCAGCCCCCUUCCCAUUCCUGCCAGCUUUGAGGUUUCCUCUUUGACCUCCUAGAUGAUGAAACAACUUGACGGGCUGCAUCCACAAAGCUCCUGCUCGGUUUGGUGUCUCCAUUGACUCCAGGUUUAUUUUUGAGGUUUACAGUUUUGUCAAAUGUGUUUCCCAUGAGCCACCUCAUAUCUCUGGUAGCACAAGGCAGGAUCUAAACAGAUACGGUCCUUGGGAGCAUCAGAGCUAGGGCAGAAGUAAGGGUGAGGUGCAGAACCAUAAUCUUUCCCUUUCCUUCUCUCUACUUCCAAGUCAGAGUAAACAGAGCUUCAUAUUGCCUGCUGCGUUGUAGGUGCUCAAUACACACUCAUUUGAACAGCUACCAAGGGCAGAGGGCUUUUACUCCUCACCACCAAUGACCAGGCCCAGAUCCAGGUCUCAUGAAGCCUGAGGCUUACUCAGUUUGCCUGGCCCUCUUGGGAAAAGAAUACAAAUUCUUAUUUUGGCAAUUUUCAAAAAGACAGAUAGCAGGAGGAGUGCCUUGAAAUAGACUCCUGUAAGAGAGAGACGUGAGGCAGAAACAUCUUACCUUCCUGGUAAAUCCUCCUCUGCUCAUACCCAUGUCAUUUCACAGAAGAGAGUCAGGGAAGGAGAAGGGUCAGCCUUCAUGAAGUCUUUUUUUUUUUUU
Molecule: long non-coding RNA, 1627 nt
Organism: Bubalus bubalis (water buffalo)
Lineage: Eukaryota; Metazoa; Chordata; Mammalia; Artiodactyla; Bovidae
Exons: 5
Source: RefSeq, a predicted model, not a curated record